RNAcentral lists this transfer RNA (62 nucleotides) under Moniezia benedeni. RNAcentral describes it as "tRNA-Gln". The record is from RNAcentral. Lineage: Eukaryota; Metazoa; Platyhelminthes; Cestoda; Cyclophyllidea; Anoplocephalidae.
CUAACGUGGUGUGAUUGUGCAUGCUACAUUUUGGUUGUAGUGGUGAUUAGUUGUCCAUUAGU